Molecule: small nuclear RNA, 54 nt
Filed under: Cervus elaphus hippelaphus
Lineage: Eukaryota; Metazoa; Chordata; Mammalia; Artiodactyla; Cervidae
Rfam family: U2 spliceosomal RNA
About the family: U2 is a small nuclear RNA (snRNA) component of the spliceosome (involved in pre-mRNA splicing). Complementary binding between U2 snRNA (in an area lying towards the 5' end but 3' to hairpin I) and the branchpoint sequence (BPS) of the intron results the bulging out of an unpaired adenosine, on the BPS, which initiates a nucleophilic attack at the intronic 5' splice site, thus starting the first of two transesterification reactions that mediate splicing.
Source: RNAcentral
AUCGCUUCUCGGCCUUUUGGCUAAGAUCAAGUGUAGAAAGUGUUCUAGUUUCAU